AUAAUGUAUACUAGUACUAUAUUUCUUAUUCAAAAUCAUAGCAAAUUCACUUAAAUGUAUACAAGGCUGUGCUCGCAAUUUACGAAAUAUUUUCGAGCACAUUUGUAAGCAUAAAUGGAAAAAACGACCAUUUUUCAAAAUAUUGAGUGGUAUUUCUAGCACUACUAUGUGCUAGCAAAUUUGUGAGCAACUGAUGCUAGCAAAUUUACCCAUUAGUCAAAUUUCCUUCUGUUUGCGAGCACUCGUAUGUGGUAGCAAUUUUUUUUCAUGCAAAAAGGAUAUUUAAUCAUUUUCCACCGAUAUUUUUACGAGAGGAAGCAAAUGUGCUAGCAAAUUAGCGAGCAUAUGUACAUGUAGAGGUGCUAGCAAAAUCUUUGUAGAGGUGCUAGCAAAAUCUUUAGCUGUUAUCCAGAGCGGAUUUCCUCAUUCUCAUUUUUUAAUUCCGACGUAGACUUUGUGUAUUAGAAAAAGAAAAAAAAUGAAUAUUAAUUUGUCUAAUUUAAUGACUUUUUGUUUUUUUUGGAAAGACCAAAAACUACGACUGAUUCUCGCCGCCCCUGAUUCUCAUUUCUCCCCUCUCCGCCGCCAGCCACAGCCACCGAUCAAGGAACAACACAUGUCAGUGAUCAUUUACAAACUGCUGGAACAAACCGAUUGAGGAACAACAGAUUUCAGUGAUCAUUUCAGUAAAACAGCGGCGAUAUUGCCCUACAUCCGUCUCAGUUUUUUCAGUUCAAAUUAUGAUUUGUUUUCAUUGUUUCUGAGAAUUGGAUUGAUUAAUUACAAUUGCAUAUUGUUAUUUGAAGUCUGAAAUUGCAACCCGAUCAUUUCUAAUCGGCUAUCUAACUAAUCUAUGAUGAUUCAUGUACAUAAAUUUGUUACAUUAAUUGAUGCAGAUCAUAUUUGCUACUCUUGAUGGUAUUAUUACCAACUGAUGAUUAUUGAUCCACCGAUUGAGGAACAACUGAUCUUUUUGUUCUAUUUGCUUCGCCACCAGCCUCUCCCUCUCAAAUUGAGCACAUAUUCUGAGUUGAGUUUGUCUGCCAAAGAAGAUAGCCCACAGCCUGCAGUGGAGCAGUUCUUACAUCUGCACCCUCAGCCCGGUUGCAUCGUCGGCUCCCUCUCCAGUUUCAAAGACAAAUACAGGUUAUCAACGACAAGUGCACUUAAUUAGAGAAAAUACUUAAUUUGUACAAAAUCGUACAGUGCACUUACAAGUAAAAGCAAAAUCAAUCAAAAUAAUUACUACUGUAUAUAGUAUAUACUCAUACUAA
Salvia splendens (bonfire salvia) is the source of this 1274-nucleotide long non-coding RNA. RefSeq lists it as uncharacterized. The transcript has 2 exons. The record is from RefSeq and is a predicted model, not a curated record. NCBI's taxonomy places the organism in Eukaryota, Viridiplantae, Streptophyta, Magnoliopsida, Lamiales, Lamiaceae.